UGUUUAAUGUUUUAUGUGUCAUUCCUAACUGUCACUGUGUGUCGUUGUCACUUGUGGGUGGAGCACCAAGGCAAAUUCCUUGUAUGUGAAUACCUGGACAAUAAACAUGUUCAUUCAUUCACUUAGAGGGUGUUAAAGUGUGC
Amblyraja radiata (thorny skate) is the source of this 143-nucleotide long non-coding RNA. RefSeq lists it as uncharacterized. The transcript is spliced from 3 exons. The record is from RefSeq and is a predicted model, not a curated record. NCBI's taxonomy places the organism in Eukaryota, Metazoa, Chordata, Chondrichthyes, Rajiformes, Rajidae.